Long non-coding RNA from Columba livia (rock pigeon), 2520 nucleotides. RefSeq lists it as uncharacterized. Lineage: Eukaryota; Metazoa; Chordata; Aves; Columbiformes; Columbidae. The record is from RefSeq and is a predicted model, not a curated record. The transcript has 3 exons.
GCGGAUGCUGAUGAGGGAGGACUUGGAGUAGAGCUGCCCGCUCUUGGAGCGCGCCUCGGCGUAGAAGGAGCGCAGGACCCGGCAGAGCGCCCCCUUGUCCAUCGUCUCGAAGUCGGGGCUCUGCGCCUUCUCGCUCAGGAGGUGAACUAUGUUGACAGACUUGGAGAUGAAUAUAGAGCCCAGUAUACCAAUAGUGUUUCAUCAUGAAGCCUCACUAGGAACUGAACCAGAAUAUGUCCCCAAAGCCAAGAAGCAAAGAAAAUCCAUUGGAUUUAUUUGGUCCUUGGGAUCUAGAAAAUAUUUGAAAAAAACCACUGCUUAAACAACCUUGUUGGUUAACCCUACAGCUGACUGCAUAGCAUCUUUUUAAGAAAACAGCUUUUUCUUCAUGUACACUUCGACUGUUAUUUAAAUGCAAUAAACGUGCUCCUAAAAUGUGUUAAUAUGUUUUCUAAACACAAGAUAUUUUCGCUGUAGAGGCAGGCUACAUGGAAAUUGGUUUCAGAAAUCCAUAUUGACACUACAGAACUGGAAGGCAAAUGACACUUGGGACUCUUGGAAAAUUCACUUAGGGAAAAAAUAUGUCCCAGAAAUCCUCCUCCCACUCAGAAACAUGCAGUUUUGAGGUAAGCUUUUCUAGCAUUUCAGAACGGUCACUUAUAAACGCUAAUUCCAUUUCUAUUUUAUUCUUUUAUUUGUAUGUAUGAUAUUUCUAGUUUUUUUCAUUACUUCUUGAUACUAGGGAGAGCUGAUGCUGACAUAACGUGCUAUAAUAGAUUUUACUGCUCUUUGACGUUAAAUUUUUCUUUUUGAGAUUAGGGUCUCCAGUCUGCAUGGCAAUGAAAUGGCUUUAUAUAACUCAACAAAGGUGACAUUGAUUUAGGAAAGUAAUGGUGUACCCAUCAGCACCAAGUAGCAGCUGUUCUUAAUGAAUUUUAAAAUACAAAAGCUAUUUUACCUCUUAGAUUGUCAUAUUAUGAAAUGUUAGUGGUAGUUGUGCACAUCAAAGCACCAGCUACUACUGACACACUGUGGAACGUGAAGGCGGCAUCAAACCAGCCCCGUCACGAAGUUCCAUGGAGCCAAUUGAAAGCGUAUUUCUGAAGCACGCUCGUAUUUUUUUUCCCACAGGUAUUUGCCAUUAUUCACUUGACUUAUUUUUGUUUCUUUUAUAAAAACAAUAUUUUUGUUGCUGAGACCACGAUUUGUUUCCCAAUUGCUCCUCUUUCCAAACAGGAGAAAACUUGAGUCAUCAUCUUUGUAAGAAAGCACACGUUUAGUGCUUGGCAAAUUAAAAGUCAAGACUUUGUGAAUCAUCAUUAUUUUCAGUGUCAAGCAGCUGGAGCAUUUUUGCUUCCAAAAAUAUAGAAGAGCUACGUUGUCAGACAGCUUGGAGAGAGGCAGGUAAUAAAUUGCAUUGCACUGCAUCAAGGUUUUAAAGGUCUUUUAAAAUGUGCUGGAGGUAAAUUGCCAGGAGAUGUAUUAAUGUUUUAUUUCACUGUGUUUCAGUUUAUGUUUGCCUUUGCUUCUGUGGUGAUGAGGGCACUUGAAACAAAUUGGCUGGUCUGUGAGGCACAGCAGUAGCUGGUGAUAGUUGCUCUGGCAGUUGUCUCGUCAUUUCUAUGAACUGCUGACACCGAGCAACCCGGCAUGUUACUGGAAGAACAUUUAUCCUCCAUGGAAAGAAAGAGGUCUCUCCAUCCAGUUUUAGAAUUUAAGUUAGUUUUUAGUCCUUCUCAACUGGAUCAUAAAAUCUGUGCAGAGGUGAGAGAAAUUUAGAAGGACUCAAUAAAGGAACCUCAAAAGAGAGGUUCCCUGUGAAACCACAAAGCCUUGUUUAUAGGUCUUGUAGGUCUGUGUAAGUACAAGUUUUCACUUUAUACAGUGCUUCCAGUACUAUAUAAUAGAGUAUAAAUUAAUGCUGUAUUGGAUAUGGGGUUCCAUUCAUCAUCUUCCAAUAAAAAUUUAUUUUGAACUAAAAGUUCAGGCUGGACGUCACACUGGCCUGAACGAAGUCUAGAAAUGGAGGGAGGGAUGACUGGUUAUAUGAAAACAGGGUCUGGCUGAGAAGGCUUCUUAAACAUUCCUUUAAGAAAAAAGGAAGGGAAAAAAAGAGCCCUUACAAUAUAAGAAACAAAAAAUGUAAUGUAAUAAGACUCUGAAGAAAUGCACUUUCCACCCUGUUUCUGUACCAUAUGGAUUCUAUCUUGCUUACUUUUUCUAUCCCCAUUGCAAGACCCAAAGUUUUUGUGCUGCCACAAGGUGUGCUGAGGGCUGUGGUUCCCGUGCAGGGCCAGAGAUAGGGCUUCAAACCCCCAAAAAACUUACGCCAGGCUUUUCUCAGAGCUGGGAGUCCUCAAGGGACAAGGCAACAGCUGGCCUUCGGCACAGCCUGGAAAAGGGAAUCUUCCUCUGACCGUCGGAUGGUGGCUUUAUUGCCUCUUUAUACCAUGAAUUCACUGUCAAUAUACUUUUGUUUUGACUUAGUGACUGAAAUAAACUGAUUAUUCCCCUUUUCCA